Molecule: ribosomal RNA, 627 nt
Filed under: uncultured archaeon
Lineage: Archaea
Description: bacterial SSU rRNA
Rfam family: Archaeal small subunit ribosomal RNA
Source: RNAcentral
UUCCGGUUGAUCCUGCCGGAGGCUACCGCUAUUGGAGUCCGAUUAAGACAUGCGAGUCGAGAGCUUUCGGAGCUCGGCAUACUGCUCAGUAACACGUGGGUAACCUGCCCUGUGCUGGGGGAUAACCUCGGGAAACUGAGAACAAUACCCCAUAGUCCACUACGCCUGGAACGGUGAGUGGAUGAAAGCCCCGGCGGCACAGGAUGGGCCUGCGGCGUAUCAGGUAGUAGGGGGUGUAAAGUACCCUCUAGCCUUCGACGCGUACGGGUUGUGAGAGCAAUAGCCCGGAGAUGGAUUCUGAGACACGAAUCCAGGUCCUACGGGACGCAGCAGUCGCGAAACCUUGACAAUGCGGGAAACCGUGAUCAGGGGACUCCAAGUGCCAGGAGUAAGAUCCUGUGCUUUUCUUCUCUCUUCAAAGGAUUAGGAAUAAGAGGUGGGUAAGGACGGUGCCAGCCGCCGCGGUAAUACCGGCGCCUCGAGUGGUAGUCGAUUUUAUUGGGCCUAAAACGUCCGUCGCCGGUCUGGUGCAUUCGUGGGUAAAUCAACCCGCUCAACGGGUUGAAUUCUGCGAGCACGGCCAGACUAGGGACCGGGAGAGGUGUGGGGUACGCUCGGGGUAGGGGU